CGGCAGGCCUAACACAUGCAAGUCGAGCGGCAGCGGGAAAGUAGCUUGCUACUUUUGCCGGCGAGCGGCGGACGGGUGAGUAAUGCCUGGGGAUCUGCCCAGUCGAGGGGGAUAACUACUGGAAACGGUAGCUAAUACCGCAUACGCCCUACGGGGGAAAGCAGGGGACCUUCGGGCCUUGCGCGAUUGGAUGAACCCAGGUGGGAUUAGCUAGUUGGUGAGGUAAUGGCUCACCAAGGCGACGAUCCCUAGCUGGUCUGAGAGGAUGAUCAGCCACACUGGAACUGAGACACGGUCCAGACUCCUACGGGAGGCAGCAGUGGGGAAUAUUGCACAAUGGGGGAAACCCUGAUGCAGCCAUGCCGCGUGUGUGAAGAAGGCCUUCGGGUUGUAAAGCACUUUCAGCGAGGAGGAAAGGUUGGUAGCUAAUAACUGCCAGCUGUGACGUUACUCGCAGAAGAAGCACCGGCUAACUCCGUG
This 480-nucleotide ribosomal RNA is filed under the name Aeromonas veronii. RNAcentral describes it as "bacterial SSU rRNA". It matches the Rfam family "Bacterial small subunit ribosomal RNA", at positions 40 to 507 of the family's 1533-position model. The record is from RNAcentral. Lineage: Bacteria; Pseudomonadati; Pseudomonadota; Gammaproteobacteria; Aeromonadales; Aeromonadaceae.